ACGGUCCUAAGGUAGCGAAAUUCCUUGUCGGGUAAGUUCCGACCUGCACGAAUGGCAUAAUGAUGGCCAGGCUGUCUCCACCCGAGACUCAGUGAAAUUGAAAUCGCCGUGAAGAUGCGGUGUACCCGCGGCUAGACGGAAAGACCCCGUGAACCUUUACUAUAGCUUGACACUGAACAUUGAAUUUUGAUGUGUAGGAUAGGUGGGAGCCUUAGAAGCAGUCACGCCAGUGAUUGUGGAGGCGUCCUUGAAAUACCACCCUUUAACGUUUGAUGUUCUAACGAAGAUUACGAAACGUGGUCUCGGACAGUGUCUGGUGGGUAGUUUGACUGGGGCGGUCUCCUCCCAAAGAGUAACGGAGGAGCACGAAGGUUUGCUAAUGACGGUCGGACAUCGUCAGGUUAGUGCAAUGGUAUAAGCAAGCUUAACUGCGAGACAGACAAGUCGAGCAGGUACGAAAGUAGGUCAUAGUGAUCCGGUGGUUCUGAAUGGAAGGGCCAUCGCUCAACGGAUAAAAGGUACUCCGGGGAUAACAGGCUGAUACCGCCCAAGAGUUCAUAUCGACGGCGGUGUUUGGCACCUCGAUGUCGGCUCAUCACAUCCUGGGGCUGAAGUAGGUCCCAAGGGUAUGGCUGUUCGCCAUUUAAAGUGGUACGCGAGCUGGGUUUAGAACGUCGUGAGACAGUUCGGUCCCUAUCUGCCGUGGGCGUUGGAGAAUUGAUUGGGGCUGCUCCUAGUACGAGAGGACCGGAGUGGACGCACCACUGGUGUUCCGGUUGUGUCGCCAGACGCAUUGCCGGGUAGCUAAGUGCGGAAGAGAUAAGUGCUGAAAGCAUCUAAGCACGAAACUUGCCAAGAGAUGAGUUCUCCCAGAUUACAAAUCUGUAAGGGUUGUUUAAGACUAAGACGUAGAUAGGCAUGGUGUGUAAGCGGUGCGAGCCGUUGAGCUAACAUGUACUAAUUGCCCGAGAGGCUUAACUAU
This 982-nucleotide ribosomal RNA is filed under the name human oral metagenome. Its description in RNAcentral is "bacterial LSU rRNA". It matches the Rfam family "Bacterial large subunit ribosomal RNA", at positions 1945 to 2925 of the family's 2925-position model. The record is from RNAcentral.